Paramuricea clavata is the source of this 329-nucleotide non-coding RNA. NCBI's taxonomy places the organism in Eukaryota, Metazoa, Cnidaria, Anthozoa, Malacalcyonacea, Plexauridae. The record is from the annotation of a GenBank genome assembly.
AAUUCUUAAAAGUCAUUAAUCUUACAAUUUUUUUUUGAAUGUUUAUUAACUUUGAAAUACGAGAUUUGUACGUAUUACCCCAAAUGAGGUUACCAUAGAUUAGAUAUGGAUAGACCAAUGCGUAGUAAAUGAGUUUUAGAGAAUUUAAGUUUGUAAAAUGCCGAAUUCUGGAAAUAAUAGCUGCACAUCUGAUCAUUUUCUUUGCUAUUAAAUCUAGAUGAUAACACCAUGUUAAAAAUUCAUGAAUAACAAUUCCCAAAAAUGUGAUACUCUUGGCUUGUUUUAUGGCCUCAUUAUUUAAAGAAAUUUUAACAUUGUGUUUAGAUUUU